AACCCUCGACCUUAGUUGCCAGCAUUCAGUUGGGCACUCUAAGGUGACUGCCGGCUAAAAGUCGGAGGAAGUGGGGGAUGACGUCAAAUCAUCAUGCCCCUUAUGACCUGGGCUACACACGUGCUACAAUGGGCGGUACAAAGGGUCGCGAACCGCGAGGGGGAGCCAAUCCCAAAAAGCCGCUCUCAGUUCGGAUUGCAGGCUGCAACUCGCCUGCAUGAAGCCGGAAUCGCUAGUAAUCGCGGAUCAGCAUGCCGCGGUGAAUACGUUCCCGGGCCUU
Molecule: ribosomal RNA, 280 nt
Filed under: uncultured Anoxybacillus sp.
Lineage: Bacteria; Bacillati; Bacillota; Bacilli; Caryophanales; Anoxybacillaceae
Description: partial 16S ribosomal RNA
Rfam family: Bacterial small subunit ribosomal RNA
Source: RNAcentral